Molecule: long non-coding RNA, 1169 nt
Organism: Centruroides sculpturatus (bark scorpion)
Lineage: Eukaryota; Metazoa; Arthropoda; Arachnida; Scorpiones; Buthidae
Exons: 4
Source: RefSeq, a predicted model, not a curated record
UAAAAGACAAUUGUAAAGAUCUGAAAAUAUCAUUAAGAAAACAUCUCUAAACAAACCAAUUUUAUGCCAAUGUAAACAUUAAUAUGAAUUGCGAUUUUGUGUGAAAAUCCAAUCAGCAGAAAGUUUACAUAAUUGACAAAUCAGAGUCUAUAUAAAUUACAUUUCCAGUCAAAGAAAGAAAUCAAAGCUCAGGAUAAAAAUCUACAUGGCUCUAAAUAGGAACUGGAACCAAAAUUUUCAUUGAUAUUCAAAAGAAAGAUACUCUCUAUAUUAAAAAGACUGCAAUACUUUCCAUAAAUGAAGUUAAAGAAUAAUUUUGAAGAGUUCUUGAAGGUUGUAAUGCUUUCGGCAUAAAAAUAAUGAAAGAUAAAUGAUUCAAUAUAUUUUUAAGAAUAACGGUGAAAUUAUUUUAAAAUUAUUUAUAACAAUAAACGAGAAAUUAUCAAAUAUAAAAAUCGUUCGUGUUUAAAGUGAGAUUACAUAAAUGAAUCAAAAGAAAUUUAUGUUUCUCUAAGAGCAAUAUAUGCCCUAUAGCGAUGUUUUAUGUUGUUUUACAAGAUUGUCAGAAAUUCUAUUGGCAAUAAUGCUUACUGGUCCACUAAAGUAUUUUAAAACUCCUACAGGUCUUAGGAAGGGAAUUGGAAAGUGAAACGAACUAUCCAUUCUAUUACAACUGAUGUUGUUCGCAUCAAGAUAUUGUUCAGCAUCUCUGAUUCUAUGAGGACAAGCAUUAUCAUUCUGUAGAAGAAUUCUCUUAUGGUACUCACACAAGACCUAGCGUCUUAUUCCGAUAUCUAUGAGCAUUCAUAAAGUCAGUAGAAAAUAAUAGAAAUCUCUGGGUAGAUUUGUUUAACGAAAGUCUCUAACAUUAAUAGAAGUACAUAGAUGAAGAGAGAAAAGAAAACGGAAAAAUAAUUUUUAAACAUAAAAGUAAUGGAGUUUGAAAGACAAUAAAAAAAUGAAAAAGCACACACGGUGGAUUAUAAAAUGACUCCUCGGGGAUCGCUACAUACCUGAGAAGGGAUGGAAGAUUUAUUCUCCGAGAAGAAGGAAAUUCUCUAUAGUGUUUGGACUUCGUACUGAGAUGGUGCCACUAAUGGGAAAGCAAGAACGAAAUGAAAUUUGCAUAAUCUAUUUAUUUUUGAAUAAUAAAGUAUGAAAAAAAAGAG